Molecule: long non-coding RNA, 974 nt
Organism: Paramacrobiotus metropolitanus
Lineage: Eukaryota; Metazoa; Tardigrada; Eutardigrada; Parachela; Macrobiotidae
Exons: 3
Source: RefSeq, a predicted model, not a curated record
CAUAAACAUGCAAAGUUGGCACCGGCUGCCGCACCGCGAAAGAUGACAUGCAGGUAGCGCCGUACUUGUAAAACUGUUGUGCUACAGACUCCGACAGUUUGCCGUUAUGAUAACCUCAUGGACAGUGCUGAGAAAUACACCCAUGUCCGAGGUUAACCAACACAUGGAAUAGUGAUGCAAAUUUUUGUGUGUUCAAAUCUGUUGCUACCUCGGAUUUAAGUAUUUCUUCGUUCAUUUGCUCUCAUCGCUUCUCGUUAUUUCGAUACUACUCAGCUUAGCUAUACUCAGCCGGUUUUCUGCUUUGGUGGGACAAGAUGGAAAUGUGGUAAACCGGAAGGAAUUUUUGGACUAACAAUAAUAAUGGGGAUGUCUCAGCGCAACAGUGUAUAUAUAAUAUGGGUGGUGAUCGUGGUGUUGGUGACCAUGGCGGAACAAGGGGUCUGCUUGCACUGCUAUCAGUGUGACAGUGACAUACAUCCUGGAUGCACCUUAGCCCCUAAACCCGAAGCCCUAGGGGAAUACCUGAUUGACUGUACCGGGAUAUCCAACGUGACACAGUGCGUUAAAACAGUUGGACCUGCAAGUAAAAUCAUACGCGGCUGUUCGGCAGUGAUGUCAACGGAAUCCCGAUGCACUUCAGAGCGAGGACUGAUCAUAUGUACAUGCGAUACCGAUUUAUGUAAUAACUCGCAUCGUGCGAAAUGGCGCGUGGGCAUUAUUUAUUCCGGCUUUUUUCUUUUUUCGCUUUGUUAUAAUUAUGUUUGAAACAUUGGAUUCGAGUCAAAAAUUUCUAUCAUUCUGUCCACAAUAUUGAUCAUAUCCUGAAAAUCUGUUUAUCUGCGCGCCGCCGAAAAAAAAUCAGUGCUUCUUGACUAACAGUGAUUUCUUCGUUAUUUAGCAAUGAGCUAUGUACUGUGCACUGUCUUUCCUGUGAUACGGUUCCGCCAUGAUGCGAUAUUAAAACUAGUACUAUG